UCGGGGACGCUAAGACAGGUGGUGCAUGGCUGUCGUCAGCUCGUGUCGUGAGAUGUUGGGUUAAGUCCCGCAACGAGCGCAACCCUUAUUAUUAGUUGCCAGCAUUAAGUUGGGCACUCUAAUGAGACUGCCGGUGACAAACCGGAGGAAGGUGGGGAUGACGUCAAGUCAUCAUGCCCCUUAUGACCUGGGCUACACACGUGCUACAAUGGGCAGUACAACGAGAAGCGAGCCUGCGAAGGCAAGCGAAUCUCUGAAAGCUGUUCUCAGUUCGGACUGCAGUCUGCAACUCGACUGCACGAAGCUGGAAUCGCUAGUAAUCGCGGAUCAGAACGCCGCGGUGAAUACGUUCCC
RNAcentral lists this ribosomal RNA (354 nucleotides) under uncultured Lactobacillus sp. RNAcentral describes it as "bacterial SSU rRNA". It matches the Rfam family "Bacterial small subunit ribosomal RNA", at positions 1020 to 1375 of the family's 1533-position model. The record is from RNAcentral. Lineage: Bacteria; Bacillati; Bacillota; Bacilli; Lactobacillales; Lactobacillaceae.